CGCAAACUGCACAGUAUAUGCAAUUCUAUGUCAUAAAACCACUAAAACCUUCACUUCGGGUUAACCAUGUCACGUAUAGUUGCUUGACAAACACUUCAUUGGUAAUUUGCGUAACUGCGACCAGUGUGAGUAUGUGGAAAUAGGUGUGAUCAGUGUUUGAUUGGUUUGUUCUGAGUUGGAAGAUGGGACUUCAGAUGCUCAUCCUGCCCAUCAGAACCUGUUUGUAAUGCAAUACUGGAAGGAGGAGAGGUCUGAUUGAUGAGUUUGCAUAAGACAUGAUGUCAUCACUUGGGAAUGUUAAUAGAUCAUGAGAUGGCCCCUUUUCAUGGAAAGGAUACACACCAAGUGGAUACACACCUUGUUAGCAAACAAAGCUUGACCAAUAACAUCAUUGGGUUGACACAUAAACCAACAUAUCACAAAAUGUAUCUAGUUGACAAAAGUUGUAUGUACCAUUGAAUGUAGUCAUCUCUAUUUUGAGAGAUGUUUCCUAAAUCACUAUGAUAAAUGCCAAAUCUCAAGGGUCCAGGAUUACAUCCCUGAUAAGGGAUCUAAUUGGUUAUGGUGGUUGAUGGGAUGACCUCAUGCCAGCAGUGAUUGCUAGCUGACAACAUCACCAAGACCAGGAAAUAAAAGAUUUUAACCACCUUUUAUUAAACAAUUAAAUCACAGGGUAAAUCACACUCAUCAGGCUUGAAAUCAUACUGGCUUCCUUAUGUUUCAAUAAGUCUAUUGGGUACUAGUAUUCAAUUUCUCAAUUUACAUCAAAUGAUGUUAGAGUUGAUAAAGAAAUAACAGCUUGAAAUUGGGUGGGCAGAUUGCAAGGAUGUACAAUUUGCAUACAAUUCUAUAUAAGCAGGAUGAUUCCAGGAUAGUUGAACGAAUGACAAAUUGAGUCUCCUUCUAAUACAGUCAACACAGUUGCUUUUCUAAGUAAGAAGAAGAUAAUGUCAAAGUUUUUACUUGCAGGAAAGUUUUAUCAUGUUACAUCAACAAUUGUGAUACUCAGAUCCUAAGGGAACCCAUACCAAUCACAAUCCUCAUCAGACUGUAACAUGCUCCCAUGAGCAAUUCUUCUGGUUGCUGUUUUGGAAUUUUAAUGGAGUCAGAAUUAGCCUAUUGUGUUAAGCCACCUGUAAUUGUCACCCCUGCCUGAUCUAAUGAUGUCAUCUGAAGUCAGCAAAAGUGGUUGUUUUGAUAAGACUUGAAUGUAUUUGUGAUUGUUUCUUGGAACCCCUUUUGAGAUGUAAAUAUGAGCCACAUGGAGACUGCCAUGCUGAGUAAUUCAUUUAGAAAUAGUGCAACAUAUUACUAGUGUAUCAAAGUUUAACACCUCACAAUAUGCUAUCUAUUGCCUUUCUAUAUAGGAAUCUGAUUCAACUCUAAGCCUAAAAUGUAUACUGAUUUUGUCUAAAUCUACAACCAGAUGCUGAAAUGGCCUUGCCAUACCUGCCCAUCAAUUUGUUUAGACAUUGUUGAUUUGUAGCCAUUCCAUCAUGUCCUUGGAACAGAAUUCAACUCCAAAGGUGUGGGAAAAAUUCACCAUAAACAACACUAGAACUUUGAGGCGGGAAACUCCACCAUUUGUUUCUAUGAGCCUUUCAAAAUUGGCACUGUAAGUCUUCUCCAGGCUUAAUGAACAGUUGUUUUUGGUUAUCAGCAGAAUGCUAGCAAUUUGGCUGAAUAAUGAGGUAUGGGCUCAGGUGUUAAUGAACUGCUUGCCAAACUGUAGUAAUCAUCAUUUAAAUAGUUUGGAUUUCUAGGUUAUAGAAGCAGGGUAGCUUGAACAAGACUCUGUGUAACGAAUAAUAAUCAUGUUGUUUGAGAGUUGCACUGAUCCAACAGCCUUUCAUUUUGAUGCAAAGAAUUCCCAACACAAAUUAAUUGCCACAUUCAGUUGUUAUCUGGGGAUGCCAUCAAAAUGCAGUGUUCCUGGGGUGGCUUCAAACUGGUGUUGUUUGGAGCAUAGCUCCAGGCCAACCUUGCUGUGUCCUAUGCACUGGUGUAUGUGGAAAGGGAGUCAGUGACAGAUACACUGUUUUGUCAACAUCUCAGGAUGACAUAGUGUUUAGGGGAAACAAGGGAAACACCUCCUGCCUGAGCAAAACCAGAUGCAGGAAGCCUUCAUAGUUAUGCCUGCCCAACUAACAGGUGGCAGCUGUGCAUGGGAAAACUUAUGCCCAAAACCUUCAGGAACAGAAAUGUCAACACAUGAGGACUGAUCCAUCUUCAAACUUUACUGGGGGAGGAAACCUUGAAAUUUCAAGAAAUGGAGGAUGUCCUUACUCUUCCAAGAAAAAGAGGAAAUGUGGUUACUCAAGCAUGCAGCUUUCCACGAAAGACCAGAAAAGCAGGAGCAAUUUGCUUCCCAAAUGGCCUGAAUCAGGACACAAAACAGGAGUCAAGCCACAACAUCCAAUACCAGGUAUGACACCUUUUCUGUGAACCAUGACCAUGACAAUAGAGUUGAUAGACAGCACUGCUGCUCACCUGCUGUUCUCUUGUACAGACAAGUUUAAACUACAGAAGAUGCCUGCCAACAUAAUACAUCUCCCCCACAGUGUGACAACAAACUGACAUUUGUCUGAACAAAAGCCUGCUGAGACGAUGUUUUCAAUGAGAAAAGAGGAGAGCCAACUUUUCAAGUGCUGUUUAACAGACACCUGUGUGUCAGAACUGUAGAAAAACUGAAGAAUAGACAGGUGUAAAUGGACCACUCAGUAACUGUGCUCAUGCCAGAAGCAAGGCAUGUAGAGAGUCAUCAAAGAAUAUUCUGUUUCCUGGAAGGAAAACUGCUGUAUCUGCAAAAUGAAAGAACCAUUCAAUCCAUUUUCUUUAGGAAUUUAGACAUUUAGGAACUAAUUCCAGAGGUUUCAAAAUAUUGCUCAUGGAUAUUGGACUCUACCCUUUCACUAGUAAUGUAAUGUACUGGAAGAAUGCUCCGCUAUCAUGUGUAACUUAUCCAAGGCGUGGUUGACUUCAACUAUCAAUUAUCAAUGUCUGGCUGCUUAACUGGUAUGACCUUCAGGUCAGAAAAUAUCAUGGAUGUGAUUAAAUCCAACACCCAAUGAUAAUGAUUGGAACAGUUUGAUUUUGUCAUGCAUG
RNA transcript from Branchiostoma floridae (Florida lancelet), 3105 nucleotides. RefSeq lists it as uncharacterized. The transcript has 4 exons. The record is from RefSeq and is a predicted model, not a curated record. NCBI's taxonomy places the organism in Eukaryota, Metazoa, Chordata, Leptocardii, Amphioxiformes, Branchiostomatidae.